Molecule: ribosomal RNA, 508 nt
Filed under: uncultured bacterium
Lineage: Bacteria
Description: partial 16S ribosomal RNA
Rfam family: Bacterial small subunit ribosomal RNA
Source: RNAcentral
GACGAACGCUGGCGGCGUGCCUAAUACAUGCAAGUCGAACGCUUCUUUCCUCCCGAGUGCUUGCACUCAAUUGGAAAGAGGAGUGGCGGACGGGUGAGUAACACGUGGGUAACCUACCCAUCAGAGGGGGAUAACACUUGGAAACAGGUGCUAAUACCGCAUAACAGUUUAUGCCGCAUGGCAUAAGAGUGAAAGGCGCUUUCGGGUGUCGUUGAUGGAUGGACCCGCGGUGCAUUAGCUAGUUGGUGAGGUAACGGCUCACCAAGGCCACGAUGCAUAGCCGACCUGAGAGGGUGAUCGGCCACACUGGGACUGAGACACGGUCCAGACUCCUACGGGAGGCAGCAGUAGGGAAUCUUCGGCAAUGGACGAAAGUCUGACCGAGCAACGCCGCGUGAGUGAAGAAGGUUUUCGGAUCGUAAAACUCUGUUGUUAGAGAAGAACAAGGACGUUAGUAACUGAACGUCCCCUGACGGUAUCUAACCAGAAAGCCACGGCUAACUACGUG